GCGGACGUGGCUCAGUUGGUAGAGCAUCACCUUGCCAAGGUGAGGGUCGCGGGUUCGAGUCCCGUCGUCCGCUCGA
This 76-nucleotide transfer RNA is filed under the name Acidipropionibacterium acidipropionici. RNAcentral's name for it is "tRNA-Gly". It matches the Rfam family "tRNA". From Rfam's summary of the family: Transfer RNA (tRNA) molecules are approximately 80 nucleotides in length. The record is from RNAcentral. Lineage: Bacteria; Bacillati; Actinomycetota; Actinomycetes; Propionibacteriales; Propionibacteriaceae. RNAcentral also lists the same sequence under 3 other names.